This 407-nucleotide ribosomal RNA is filed under the name uncultured bacterium. RNAcentral's name for it is "partial 16S ribosomal RNA". It matches the Rfam family "Bacterial small subunit ribosomal RNA", at positions 29 to 526 of the family's 1533-position model. The record is from RNAcentral.
AUUGAACGCUGGCGGCAGGCCUAACACAUGCAAGUCGAGCGGAGCGGCGGACGGGUGAGUAAUGCCUAGGAAUCUGCCUGGCAGUGGGGGAUAACGUCCGGAAACGGGCGCUAAUACCGCAUACUAUCAGACGAGCCUAGGUCGGAUUAGCUAGUUGGUGGGGGAAAGGCCUACCAAGGCGACGAUCCGUAACUGGUCUGAGAGGAUGAUCAGUCACACUGGAACGGAGACACGGUCCAGACUCCUACGGGAGGCAGCAGGGGGGAAUAGUGGACAAGGGGCGAAAGCCUGAUCCAGACAUGCCGCGUGUGUGAAGAAGGUCUUCGGAUUGUAAAGCACUUGAAGUUGGGAGGCGUUACCAACAGAAUAAGCACCGGCUAACUUCGUGCCAGCAGCCGCGGUAAUUC